AUGUCUCAUGGCGGAUGGAACUCCACGCUGGUGACCAUGGCGGCGGGCGUGCCGAUGGUGGCGUGGCCGCUUUACGCCGAGCAGAGGAUGAACGCCGUGAUGUUAUCGUCGGAUCGGGUGGGCCUGGCUUUGUGGGAAAGGCCUCCCCUCGCUAAGGACGGAGCGGUUGUCCCGCGGGAGGAGGUGGCUGCGCUGGUCAGAGAGCUUAUGGAAGGGGAGAAGGGCGCCGUGGCACGGAAAAAGGCCGGUCACCUCCGGGAUGAGGCCGGGAUUGCUUCGGCGCCGGGUGGGCCACAGGAUCGAGCUCUCGCGGUAGUGGCUGGCAUGGUUUCCUUGCAUCGGAAGAGCCACGAUGAGUAA
This 360-nucleotide ribosomal RNA is filed under the name Triticum aestivum (bread wheat). RNAcentral's name for it is "partial small subunit ribosomal RNA". Lineage: Eukaryota; Viridiplantae; Streptophyta; Magnoliopsida; Poales; Poaceae. The record is from RNAcentral.